UUCUUUUGAUCCAUCUGAUCCAACAAUCAUUCAUUUGAUUUGUUGUUCUUGGAUCGACAUUGGACUUUUAUCAUUAAUCGUCCUGAAUUCAUACACGGAUUGUUCGUGAUAAAGGAGUGCUUGCACUUGUUAUAUCCAUCGAUCAAUCAUCCACCUUUAUUAAUGAUCUCAAAUCAGGCAAGACUACCCGCUGAACUUAA
Molecule: unclassified non-coding RNA, 200 nt
Filed under: soil metagenome
Description: partial contains internal transcribed spacer 2 and large subunit ribosomal RNA
Source: RNAcentral